RNAcentral lists this ribosomal RNA (34 nucleotides) under Trebouxia decolorans. RNAcentral's name for it is "partial 18S ribosomal RNA". Lineage: Eukaryota; Viridiplantae; Chlorophyta; Trebouxiophyceae; Trebouxiales; Trebouxiaceae. The record is from RNAcentral.
AUUUCCGUAGGUGAACCUGCGGAAAGAUCAUUUG